Molecule: ribosomal RNA, 380 nt
Filed under: uncultured bacterium
Lineage: Bacteria
Description: bacterial SSU rRNA
Rfam family: Bacterial small subunit ribosomal RNA
Source: RNAcentral
AUUGAACGCUGGCGGCAUGCCUUACACAUGCAAGUCGAACGGCAGCACGGGAGCAAUCCUGGUGGCGAGUGGCGAACGGGUGAGUAAUAUAUCGGAACGUGCCCGGUCGUGGGGAUAACGUAGCGAAAGCUACGCUAAUACCGCAUACGAUCUACGGAUGAAAGCGGGGGAUCGCAAGACCUCGCGCGAUUGGAGCGGCCGAUAUCAGAUUAGGUAGUUGGUGAGGUAAAGGCUCACCAAGCCGACGAUCUGUAGCUGGUCUGAGAGGACGACCAGCCACACUGGGACUGAGACACGGCCCAGACUCCUACGGGAGGCAGCAGUGGGGAAUUUUGGACAAUGGGCGGCAAGCCUGAUCUAGCAAUGCCGCGUGCAGGAUG